Molecule: ribosomal RNA, 455 nt
Filed under: uncultured bacterium
Lineage: Bacteria
Description: bacterial SSU rRNA
Rfam family: Bacterial small subunit ribosomal RNA
Source: RNAcentral
UACGGAAGGCAGCAGUGGGGAAUAUUGCACAAUGGGCGAAAGCCUGAUGCAGCUAUGCCGCGUGUAUGAAGAAGGCCUUAGGGUUGUAAAGUACUUUCAUCGGGGAGGAAAAACAAAACUAAUAAUUUUAUUUCUUGACGUUACCCGAAAAAGAAGCACCGGCUAACUCCGUGCCAGCAGCCGCGGUAAUACGGAGGGUGCUAGCGUUAAUCAGAAUUACUGGGCGUAAAGAGCGCGUAGGUGGUUUUUUUAAGUCAGAUGUGAAAUCCCUGGGCUUAACCUAGGAACUGCAUUUUGAAACUGAAAUACUAGAGUAUCGUAGAGGGAGGUAGAAUUCUAGGUGUAGCGGUGAAAUGCGUAGAUAUCUGGAGGAAUACCUGUGGCGAAAGCGGCCUCUAAACGAAUACUGACACUGAGGUGCGAAAGCGUGGGGAGCAAACGAGGGAUUAGAUACC